RNAcentral lists this ribosomal RNA (463 nucleotides) under uncultured bacterium. Its description in RNAcentral is "bacterial SSU rRNA". It matches the Rfam family "Bacterial small subunit ribosomal RNA", at positions 28 to 507 of the family's 1533-position model. The record is from RNAcentral.
GAUGAACGUUGGCGGCGUGCCUAAUACAUGCAAGUCGAACGAAGACUGUAGUAAUACUGUCUUAGUGGCGAACGGGUGAGUAACGCGUGGGUGACCUGCCCCGAAGUGUGGGAUAACAGUUCGAAAGGAUUGCUAAUACUGCAUAAUAUCCAAGAGAUUAGACGCUUUUGGAUUAAAGGAGUAAUUCGCUUCGGGAGGGGCCCGCGUCCCAUCAGCUAGUUGGUAAGGUAAUGGCUUACCAAGGCGAUGACGGGUAGGGGACCUGAGAGGGUGGCCCCCCACAAUGGAACUGAAACACGGUCCAUACACCUACGGGUGGCAGCAGUAGGGAAUAUUAGUAAUGGGCGAAAGCCUGAACUAGCAACGCCGCGUGUGCGAAGAAGGCCUUCGGGUUGUAAAGCACUUUUUGUAGAGGAUAGAGGAAGGACGGUACGUCUCAGAAUAAGUCUCGGCUAACUACGUG